UACGAACGCUGGCGGUGUGCUUCACACAUGCAAGUCGAACGGAGUGGCGGACGGGUGAGUAACACGUGGGAAUCUACCAUUAGGUGGGGAAUAACAGGCCGAAAGGACUGCUAAUGCCGCAUACCUUUUGAUGAGCCCGCGUCCGAUUAGCUAGUUGGUAGGGUAAAAGCCUACCAAGGCGACGAUCGGUAGGUGGUCUGAGAGGAUGAUCACCCACAAUGGGACUGAGACACGGCCCAUACUCCUACGGGAGGCAGCAGUGGGGAAUUUUACGCAAUGGACGAAAGUCUGACCGAGCAACGCCGCGUGAGUGAAGAAGGUUUUCGGAUCGUAAAACUCUGUUGUUAGAGAAGCGGUAUCUAACCAGAAAGCCACGGCUAACUACGUGCCAGCAGCCGCGGUAAUUC
Molecule: ribosomal RNA, 407 nt
Filed under: uncultured bacterium
Lineage: Bacteria
Description: partial 16S ribosomal RNA
Rfam family: Bacterial small subunit ribosomal RNA
Source: RNAcentral